This 450-nucleotide ribosomal RNA is filed under the name Clostridioides difficile. Its description in RNAcentral is "bacterial SSU rRNA". It matches the Rfam family "Bacterial small subunit ribosomal RNA", at positions 1 to 458 of the family's 1533-position model. The record is from RNAcentral. Lineage: Bacteria; Bacillati; Bacillota; Clostridia; Peptostreptococcales; Peptostreptococcaceae.
UUUUAUUUGAGAGUUUGAUCCUGGCUCAGGAUGAACGCUGGCGGCGUGCCUAACACAUGCAAGUUGAGCGAUUUACUUCGGUAAAGAGCGGCGGACGGGUGAGUAACGCGUGGGUAACCUACCCUGUACACACGGAUAACAUACCGAAAGGUAUGCUAAUACGGGAUAAUAUAUUUGAGAGGCAUCUCUUGAAUAUCAAAGGUGAGCCAGUACAGGAUGGACCCGCGUCUGAUUAGCUAGUUGGUAAGGUAACGGCUUACCAAGGCGACGAUCAGUAGCCGACCUGAGAGGGUGAUCGGCCACAUUGGAACUGAGACACGGUCCAAACUCCUACGGGAGGCAGCAGUGGGGAAUAUUGCACAAUGGGCGAAAGCCUGAUGCAGCAACGCCGCGUGAGUGAUGAAGGCCUUCGGGUCGUAAAACUCUGUCCUCAAGGAAGAUAAUGACGGU